UACGGGGGGGGCGAGCGUUGUUCGGAAUCACUGGGCGUAAAGGGCGCGUAGGCGGCCCGCACAAGUCUGCGGUGAAAACCCCCGGCUUAACCGGGGGCCGGCCGUGGAAACUGUCGGGCUAGAGGCCGGGAGAGGGCAGCGGAAUUCCCGGUGUAGCGGUGAAAUGCGUAGAUAUCGGGAGGAACAUCAGUGGCGAAGGCGGCCAUCUGGACCAACACUGACACUGAGGCACAAAAGCGUGGGGAGCAAACAGG
This 254-nucleotide ribosomal RNA is filed under the name uncultured bacterium. RNAcentral describes it as "partial 16S ribosomal RNA". It matches the Rfam family "Bacterial small subunit ribosomal RNA", at positions 524 to 776 of the family's 1533-position model. The record is from RNAcentral.